UCCUUUCCCUCCCCCUCCCCCUCCUCCUCCUCCUCCUCCUCCCUCUGCUCACCAACGAGGAGGCUUCACAAUGGUGGAAGUGAGAGCCAACGAGUCCUGGCACAGCUCCUGGUUCCACCUUCUCCUCCUCCUCCUCCUUGCUGCUGCUGCCUCUUCCUGUCAUGGAGAGAAGAAGCAGGUGCUGCCCUUGCGGGAGCUGCAGCUUGGAGACAUCAAGACCUCUGAGAAAUGCCUGCCACAGAGAUCAAGAAGGGUUAAUGGUGCAACAAUCCUGGAGAUGAAGCACCAGAGUUACUGCUCCUGGUCAACCAAGAGCAGGGAGGAUAGAGCUUGGAAGCUUUUGGCUCUUGACAAUGCACGAGUGUCAUCCUUACAGUCCCAGAUCAAUGAUGCCGCCAUGUCCUACAGCGCGGAGAAACCAUCAUCAUCACCACCACCAGCAGGAGCUCAAAUCCCUCUCAACUCGGGAGCAAAGCUCCAAACCAUGAACUACAUCGUCACCAUCCAGCUGGGUGGCAAGCAGAUGACAGUGAUGGUGGACACUGGGAGCGACCUCACCUGGGUCCAGUGCAAGCCAUGCCGGUCCUGCUACACCCAGGAAGACCCCCUCUUCGAUCCCGCCGCCUCGCCUUCCUACCAACCCAUCCCAUGCAACUCCUCCAUGUGCGACUCCCUGCAGAUGGCCACCGGAGUCUCCGGCGCUUGCGGCGCCGACCAGCCCAGCUGCAACUACGCCCUCAGCUACCGAGACGGAUCCUACACCAACGGAGUUCUCGCUCGGGACAGGAUCGAUCUGGCCGCCGUCCCCGUCCGAGGAUUCGUGUUCGGCUGCGGCGAGAGCAACCAAGGCAUGUUCGGCGGCACCUCCGGUCUGAUGGGGCUGGGCAGGUCGCCGCUCUCUCUGGUCUCGCAGACGAUACCUGAGUUUGGAGGGGUCUUCUCCUACUGCUUGCCGACCAGAGAAUUCGACUCAUCGGGCUCCUUGAUUCUCGGCAACGACUACUCUGUCUACAAGAACUCAACCCCGGUCGUCUACACCAGAAUGAUCACUGAUCCCCAACAGGCGUCCUUCUACUUCCUCAACCUCACCGGCAUCAGCAUCGGUGGCACAGCUCUUCGAUCCUCAACCCAGUUCAACACCCAAGUCCUCAUCGAUUCCGGCACCGUGAUCACUAGGCUGGUUCCUUCCGUCUACAAGACGCUGAGGGAUGAGUUCCUGCGGCAUUUCUCCGGGUAUCCGCCUGCGCCUGGGUACUCGAUCCUCGACACCUGCUUCGACUUGGCUGGAUACAAGGAGGUGGACGUCCCCACCAUCAGAUUCACGUUCGAUGGCGAUGCAGAGGUGGAUGUGGAUGUCAAUGGUGUUCUGUACUUCGCCAAGCCGGACGCAUCUCAGGUUUGCUUGGCCUUCGCAAGCCUUUCUUACGAAGAAGAGAUCGGGAUCAUCGGGAACUACCAGCAGAAGAAUCUGAGGGUGGUGUAUGAUACAGUCGGAUCAAAGGUGGGGUUUGCAGAGGAGACUUGUGGUUAUAGUUGAAGGAGGUGGAAGAACAUCGGAGAGCUUCAAUCUACUAUUGAGUGCUUGCAAUUGUAUACUGUGAGACACUGGAGGAAGUAGUUUCUGGCGGGCAUGAAUUGGUCCAACAUGGAGGCAAACUUGAGGUUGAGCUGUUAGAACUCACCAAGAAAACAGGUGAACCGAGGAAUUCUGUGAAGGUACAACAAGGACUUGAUUUGAGUCAACAAAUCUACUGGCAAUCAACACUUUGAAGGUGAAGUAACACUCAAAACUGAAUGAAUACAGAAUGUAUUUUAGAUUAGCAAGUGUUGCAAAAUGAACAGCAUAAGGUUCUA
This is an RNA transcript of Musa acuminata AAA Group (dessert banana), 1854 nucleotides long. It is a transcript of the gene named aspartyl protease family protein At5g10770-like, with no coding region annotated. The transcript is spliced from 3 exons. NCBI's taxonomy places the organism in Eukaryota, Viridiplantae, Streptophyta, Magnoliopsida, Zingiberales, Musaceae. The record is from RefSeq and is a predicted model, not a curated record.